This 466-nucleotide ribosomal RNA is filed under the name uncultured Alphaproteobacteria bacterium. RNAcentral's name for it is "bacterial SSU rRNA". It matches the Rfam family "Bacterial small subunit ribosomal RNA", at positions 9 to 521 of the family's 1533-position model. Lineage: Bacteria; Pseudomonadati; Pseudomonadota; Alphaproteobacteria. The record is from RNAcentral.
GAGUUUGAUCUUGGCUCAGAUUGAACGCUGGCGGCAUGCCUUACACAUGCAAGUCGAACGAAGGCUUCGGCCUUAGUGGCGCACGGGUGCGUAACGCGUGGGAAUCUGCCCUUUGCUUCGGAAUAACAGUGGGAAACUACUGCUAAUACCGGAUGAUGUCUUCGGACCAAAGAUUUAUCGGCAAGGGAUGAGCCCGCGUAGGAUUAGGUAGUUGGUGGGGUAAAGGCCUACCAAGCCGACGAUCCUUAGCUGGUCUGAGAGGAUGAUCAGCCACACUGGGACUGAGACACGGCCCAGACUCCUACGGGAGGCAGCAGUGGGGAAUAUUGGACAAUGGGGGGAACCCUGAUCCAGCAAUGCCGCGUGAGUGAUGAAGGCCUUAGGGUUGUAAAGCUCUUUUACCAGGGAUGAUAAUGACAGUACCUGGAGAAUAAGCUCCGGCUAACUCCGUGCCAGCAGCCGCGGU